GAUGAACGCUGGCGGCGUGCUUAACACAUGCAAGUCGAACGGAAAGGCUCCUUCUUGCCGGGGUACUCGAGUGGCGAACGGGUGAGUAACACGUGGGUGAUCUGCCCUGCACUUCGGGAUAAGCCUGGGAAACUGGGUCUAAUACCGGAUAGGACGAUGGUUUGUAUGCCAUUGUGGAAAGUUUUUCGGUGUGGGAUGAGCUCGCGGCCUAUCAGCUUGUUGGUGGGGUAAUGGCCUACCAAGGCGUCGACGGGUAGCCGGCCUGAGAGGGUGUACGGCCAAAUUGGGACUGAGAGACGGCCCAGACGGCUACGGGAGGCAGCAGUGGGGAAUAUUGCACAAUGGGCGCAAGCCUGAGGCAGCGACGCCGCGUGGGGGAUGACGGCCUUCGGGUUGUAAACACCUUUCGCUAGGGAAGAAGCGAAAGUGACGGUAACUGGAGAAGAAGCACCGGCUAACUACGUG
Molecule: ribosomal RNA, 465 nt
Filed under: uncultured bacterium
Lineage: Bacteria
Description: partial 16S ribosomal RNA
Rfam family: Bacterial small subunit ribosomal RNA
Source: RNAcentral